GCAGAAGCAUGUUGUACAACAUUGAAACUAUACAACUGACAGAAAUGCAAAGACUCAAAACAGGGGAAAAGAUACUACUGGCUUAAUACAACAUCUUAAUACUGGUUGGAGCAAACAAACCCACUCAUUUAAUAUCCUGACAUGUCUUGGUCUCUGCAUGUUCUAAAAGUAAUAUAGAGGGUGGAGAAGAAGUCAGGCAUACAACCAUGUUUCUGUAUGCAAGAACGGGUAAGACAACAGAUAUGAUUAGCUAUAUCUGAAUAUUAAGGAGCACAUU
Long non-coding RNA from Erpetoichthys calabaricus (reedfish), 277 nucleotides. RefSeq lists it as uncharacterized. The transcript is spliced from 2 exons. The record is from RefSeq and is a predicted model, not a curated record. Lineage: Eukaryota; Metazoa; Chordata; Cladistia; Polypteriformes; Polypteridae.